UAAAGAACAUUAUGUUUCCUCCCCAGCCCCUUUAUCACCCCCUUUGAGUCCCAGAAACCCUAAAUCGCGAAGAAGCACCAUUGUUGAGUGGAUUGGAGCUUGGAGAAGUAAUUGUUGAAGAAAGUUUGGGUGUUUGAAGGUGUGGAACAAAGGGCUUUGCUUGGAUUCGAGUUUCCUUGCAGUUGGGGCGUUAUUUUGAGGUAAUAUCUCGUUCUUAGGCUAUUGCUAUCUUGUUUCUUCAUUUUGGGGUUUGAGGGAAGCUUAUCUUGGGCUAUAUGGGAAUCUAGAGGUUAGAUCUGAGGUUGCUACCUCAGAUCUGAGAUGGAGAAGGAUCAGAGAGCAUGAAAGUCCCUAUGUUGGAGUAUUUAGUGAAGCCAUCAUGUCCCAAACCCUAGCCCAAUGUGCAAAUGGCCUAGAUCUCUUUGGAUUCACGUAAAGUUUGCCACUUUACGUGAUGGAUGAGUGGUAGGAGGCUAGAUCUAGGUUUUGGAGCAAUUGCAUGGCCUGGAAUGGUUCUGUAUGGAUUCAGACCGGUGGUACUCGGCGAGUCACAUGGGUGUACUCGACGAGUUGGUUGAAGAUGAACUGGGACUCGACGAGUUGGAAGAACAACUCGGCGAGUCGGAUGAAGAUGGCCUGGAACUCGGCGAGUCGUAUGAACAACUCGGCGAGUAGGUUGAAGAUAGCCUUAGACUCGGCGAGUCUGUUCUUGAACUCGGCGAGUCUUGUCGAAGAGUCUCGAUGUUCUCUGGUUGAGUCGGGAAUCGGUGAGUCAAGGGAUGACUCGGUGAGUUGUGUGCGAGUGGACUCAGAGUCGUUGGACUCGGCGAGUCUCGGGGUGACUCGGCGAGUUAGGUCGCGGAUUGAGUGAAGUUCUAGGUAUGGAAACUCGGCGAGUCAUCGGGUUGACUCGGCGAGUAGAGUCAGUCAGGGGUUGACUUUGACCUUGUCUUUGACCAAGGGUUGACCAGUGGUUUCCAGGGGCAUUUUGGUAAUUGUUGACUAUUGUUUUGAGUUCAGUGCAUUGGUGGUUGUUUAGUGGUGGAGAUCGUAUCUGUGAUCGGAGCAGCUUGGGUUAUCGGUUCAGUCAGCAGUUUCGAGGUGAGUUAUCCUCACUAUAUCAACAGGGUCUACGGCACCAAGGCCGGCCCUUAUCGGAUUGAGAUCCGGGUUGUUGUUAUGUUAUUAUUAUGAUAUGUUUGCAUCCUGAGAGCUAGGGUGGUAUAUGUUAGAGACCUGAUUGAGAUCGGUAUCCUGAGAGAUAGGGAGAUGCUAUGCUAGUGACCGGUUAGGUCGGUAUCCUGGUUAGGAUGAUGAUAUGCUACGUGAUCUGUUUGAUCUGCUUGUUGACUGUGAAUUGCUAUAUGAUUGUAUGUAUAUGUGCACAUGGUUGUUUGGACUGGAGUUGGGUUGAGGCGGGUCCUGCUGUGUGCUGUAGGCCAAGAUACCCAGGGUGGACCGGUUGUCCCGAAGGCCCAACGAGCGGUCCGGAUAGGCUGUAGGCCCCAAGAGGGCGGACCAGACUUGCCGAGGCUCGGAGAGUGGACCAGGCCGACUGAAGGCCCGGUGCGGGCGGACCAGUCACACUGUAGACUCAGAGAGUGGACCAGGUGGAUUGAAGGCCCGGUGCGGGCGGACCAAUCACACUGCAGACUCGAUGUACACGGCUAGACACGGAGGGUGGACUGAAGGCCGAUACGGCGGGCCAGUCACACAAUAGACCCGAUAUGCAUGGCUGUUCUAUGUUUCGUUAUGUUACGUGUGUUAUUCAUGUUAUGGGCCGGAAGACAUUAUGUUCUGGACCGGAAGGUCGUAGCCUGGAAGGGCGUAUAGGUGGUUGGUAUAUUGGGGGUAUCUCACUAAGCUUUCGGGCUUACAGUUGUGGUUUCAUGUUUUUCAGGUUCUUCAGGAGACCAUGGCAAGGCGAAGGCGUGAUCGUACCGCUCCUCAUGUUUAUGUUGUGAUGUGAUUCUGGGAAUACUCUAAAUAAAUUGUAUUGAAAACCUUUUUGUAAUAAUUUAAUGAAAUCGGGUUGUUUUUGAAAAGUUUAAAUUGGUUGGAAUUUUUCGGUCGUUACAGAUUGGUAUCAGAGCCUUGGUUUGAGUGAAUUGGAGGAACACUCGUGUGACUCCAGUCUCAAAUCGAGGAGAGUUUUCAAAAGAGAAUUUAAAAUGGUUUUCAAAAUGAGUAAAAGAGGACGCGGAGGUACGAUCAGCCGGAGCCAGUAAGUAACCCCAAAAUACCAUACAUGUUAUUUGUUUUUGAGCUUUGAUAGAACAGCAUGCUAGUGUUAGGCUAGGGAUCUUCAGGAUUUCAUGAUAAUGUUGCCUGAUUUGUGAUGCCUGUAGCCUAGGGUUUCCUUGUGGGAGAUUUUCAGUGUUCCUCUAGUGGUGAGGGUUGAGAGUUAUUAUGCAUGUUUUCACUAGGGUGUUGUGGUAGUACUUCAUACAAAUAUGGGUAGGUGUGGAAGGUAGUAUGGGCCCGUACUACUGAAAGCACAGGACCCAUACGCGUAUCAGGGAAACCAUGACCUCUAGGGUUGGGUUGAGAGAGUUGGUUCCCGGGAUAGUGGGAAGUGUCUGAGAUUUUGUGGUGUUUUUCAGUAUGGAGAUUCCGAGGCAUGCUGGGAGUGGAUCCGGGUCAGGAUCGGGAGCAGGAGAGGGAGUUCCGGGCGGGUCAGUACCGCCCGAGGUUAUUGGUCAGAUGAGCACGUGCGAGUUGGAUGCGAGGAUUCGUGAGAUCCUGCAUGAUGAGAUUGCUGCGUUGUUCCGGGCUGAGUUGCCGGAGCUGUUUGGGUCGAUCAAGACCGCCAUGGUUGAGUAUUUUGAUGAGCGCUAUGCAGCUCUCACAGAGACGGCUGCCGCGGCGGCUACAGCGGCUGUAGCAGCGGCAGGGGGAGGAGCUGGUCGGGGUUUUCAGUAUCGGGACUUCGAUAAUACGAAGCCUCCCACCUUUGAUGGAGUUCAGGACCCGAUUGUUGCUAUGAGAUGGUUAUCGGACGUGGAGGGGUGUUUCUUCACGUGUUCAUGCCCUGCUGAUCAGAGGGUGAGGUGUGCUCUGAACCUGUUGAGGCUCGGGGCGAAGGAUUGGUGGAGAUUGACCACGGGGUCAUAUUCGGAUGCGCAGAGGGCUGCGGUUUCAUGGGAUCAGUUCAGAGAGAUGUUCAGCACUCGUUAUGUUCCGCAAGUUGAGAGGGAGAGAUUGGCUCAGGAGUUCCUUGAGCUGAAGCAGGAUUCGGAGUCGGUGACUGAGAUCACCAGGAUGUUCACUGAGAGGGCGAUGUUUUGCCCAGAGUUCGCUUCGGAGCAGGCUCAGAUGUCUCGAUAUCUGAGCAUGCUCAAGAGGGAUAUCAGACAGUUUGUGUCUACGCAGAGGUGCGAGACCUUGUUGGAGUUGCAGGAGGCCGCCAGGCGGCGUGAGUUAGAGAUUGAGUUGCAGUUGCGUGAGCUGAGGCAGGCUCCGGUGCAGUCGCAGCCGGCGCCGAAACGGUCCAAGACCGUUGAUGCUAGAGUGGGAGAUCAGAGCAGCCACACUUGUGGGAAGUGUGGGAGGGGUCACACCGGAGUUUGUAGGUCCGGUGGUGCAUGCCGCAAGUGCGGAAAGGAGGGGCAUUAUGCGAGGGAUUGUCGGCAGUCAGCACCAGUUCGGGAUUUGAGGAUCUGCUAUCAUUGUCAUCAGGUUGGACAUUUGAGGGCCAACUGUCCACAGUUUGCUGCAGGAUCAGUGCAGGCUCCAGCACCGGCCACUUUGAGGAUCACAGGUGGAGGUCAGGGUGGAGCGGAGCCCCCAAGGGCUCAGGGUCGUGCUUAUCAGCUGGUGGCAGAGGAGGUCAGAGCAGUGGCGGAUGCAGCUGCGGGUAUGUUUCCUUCUCGAUGUCUUGUUAUCUUGUGAUUAUUGUGGUGUAUUGUUUAUAUGUGUCGGUAUAUUCGUGUGGUUUUCGAUGCGGUAUUCGUCGUUUUGCGGGUUGUGGUUUUGGUUAUGGGUUAUUGUUUUGGGAAUUCGUCGGUUAUCUUCCAUGAGAGUUUUAGUGGGAACCUGGCAUGGGUUUGAAGGUUGGGUAGCAUCGGCUUUCCGAGGAGUGGUUAGAUGCAGUCUGAGUUUUCUUUCGAGCAGGUUGAUCGGUGUUGAUGUGAGAUCUCGAUGAGGUUGUUUAUGCUUGGGAGAAGCAGUCCGCGUGUAAGUGUUUUCUUUGUGCAAGAGUUGUUCUGGAAGGUCGGUGAUGGCGACUGGUGACUGUUAAUCAGUGCUAUAAGUGGGAGAGAAUUGGAGAGUUCUCUGGGAGAUCGAUGAGUAUUUGAGGGUGCUUAGCUGUUGGGAUUCAGCAGUGUUCUGUCAGCUCAGAGUAUAGGCUGAUAGGAGCGAGUGUCGGGCAUGCGGGGCGGGAUACAGACCUAGGGCAUUAGAUUGUGGAGGCCUGGGAGCAGGCCGGGAUCGAGCAUGUGAGUUUCAGGCAGAGUUCGGAACCCUUAAAGGGCUAGAACAGUAUGCAUGGGAGGAUUUCCGGGAGUGUUAGCUCGGAAUGAUGAAUGCUAGUUGAGCGGUCUGGAUAGACUGAAGGCCGGUAGGCGUACCAGUCAGGCCGAAGGCUCGGAGAACGGUCCGGCCAAACUGGAGGCAAUGAGAGCGGUCCAGAUUGGCUGAAGGUUCUGAGAGUGGUCUAGAUGGGCUGAAGGCCUGGUGAGGCAGACCAGUCAUGCUGAAGACUCUGCAGGUAUUGUUGGAUCGGUUCGAGGAUAUGGAUGGUGUAUGUUUAAGUGUGACUGCUUUAGAGGGUCUGGCCCCGGGUAGUGAUCUUAAUUGGUAGAGAGAUUGCAUGGGCUUGAGAGUCCCUGUGAUGAGAGUUAGAGUAUAUGUGUGGGAUGGAUAGCGGUUACGCUAUAAAAAGGGUGGUGUGGCGUUGGGCGAGCACCGUGACACUUGUUGAAGUGGCAAUGUGGCCAAGUGGAUUCUUUGGAAAAGGAAAAGAGAAAGGUGUGUAACUCCGUGAGGGAGUGCAAGCUCGCGGAAGUGAAAGCGGCAGAGCAGAGUUAUGGUUAGAGUAAUUCGAGUAUGGUUGUCGAGCAGUGUGUUUGCGGCAGUGGAAUAGAAGCUCAUCCGGUUUGGGAUGUAUGCUGAGGUCGCGGAGUGNAAUAGGCUCGGGAAGGAUGCAGGGAGAGAGUCUUAAACUCUUAGUGUGAUUCUGAUCAGGGUAUUGGGCAUGUUUUAGUGAUUCAUCCUGGGGGAUGCUGGAGGGUGUCAUCAGUGUAUCGGGUUUUCCCAAACUGAGGGUGCUAGAGCUAGUGCAACAUGUGUAUGUGAUUUCAAGAGGAUGACUUGUGGGGGUUGCUCUGAGAUAGAGAAUGGGUCUUUCCGUCGGCAUGGAAUAGAUAGAGUGGGAUUCGGAUCGGGGAUCCGAUGGUUCGUAGUUUCUUAACCCAUAUGAGCGAGUGAUGGUUGUGAUUUGGAGCAGUGUUACAUCAUGAGUAGUACUCAGUUGUUAAGUGGAGUUAUCAGAGGGUGAGACCGGUGCUCAGUUUGAGACGAUGAUCAGGACACCGUAAGGAAAGAGAAAGUGUGUUUGAGUUUCGAUGGGUACGCCUUGAGGGACUUGGCCCGGAUAAGGCUAGGUGGCGCGUUGUGGGAGUAUCCUUGGGAUUGAAUUGCUGUAGGCUUCGAGGACGAAGCCUAAUUUAAGUGGGGAGAAUUGUAACAUCCCGAAAUAGCUAGAGUAGAGUUGAAGGGCUAAAAGUGCUAAUUGGGAAAGAGGACUCGGCGAGUAGAGUCGCGACUUGGUCGCGUGCUAAGCAGCCGACUCGGCGAGUCAAUGAGAUGGACUCGGCGAGUAGGCGCUGUGNCAAGGAGAUGGACUCGGCGAGUAGGCGCUGUGUGGAGAAAACCCUAAUUCUCGGGGCUGAGCCCUGUAUAAAGAACAUUAUGUUUCCUCCCCAGCCCCUUUAUCACGCCUUUGAGCCCCAGAAACCCUAAAUCGUGAAGAAGCACCAUCGUUGAGUGGAUUGGAGCUUGGAGAAAUAAUUGUUGAAGAAAGUUUGGGAGUUUGAAGGUGUGGAACAAGGGGCUUUGCUUGGAUUCGAGUUUCCUUGCAGUUGGGGCGUUCUUUUGAGGUAAUAUCUCGUUCAUAGGCUAAUGCUAUCUUGUUUCUUCAUUUUGGGGUUUGAGGGAAGCUUAUCUUGGGCUAUAUGGGAGUCUAGAGGUUAGAUCUGAGGUUGCUACCUCAGAUCUGAGAUGGAGAAGGAUCAGAGAGCAUGAAAGUCCCUGUGUUGGAGUAUUUAGUGAAGCCUUCAUGUCCCAAACCCUAGCCCAAUGUGCAAAUGGCCUAGAUCUCUUUGGAUUCACGUAAAGUUUGCCACUUUACGUGAUGGAUGAGUGGUAGGAGGCUAGAUCUAUGUUUUGGAGCAAUUGCAUGGCCUGGAAACGUUCUGUAUGGAUUCA
This 6429-nucleotide long non-coding RNA is filed under the name Lactuca sativa (garden lettuce). RNAcentral's name for it is "long non-coding RNA (LSAT_LNC002987)". Lineage: Eukaryota; Viridiplantae; Streptophyta; Magnoliopsida; Asterales; Asteraceae. The record is from RNAcentral.